Molecule: unclassified non-coding RNA, 351 nt
Filed under: fungal sp.
Lineage: Eukaryota; Fungi
Description: partial internal transcribed spacer region
Rfam family: Eukaryotic small subunit ribosomal RNA (bases 1-46)
Source: RNAcentral
AAGUCGUAACAAGGUUUCCGUAGGUGAACCUGCGGAAGGAUCAUUCAUAAAAUGGAGGUGAAAAUUUUAUUUGAUUUUCAGCGGAAUUUUUCUGCUAGAAUUUCAUUUUUCAUCCUCUUGUUGAUUGUUUUUUCAACUAAAAAGGUCGCAAAAUUGAAGGGAAAAAGAGAAAUUUUUUUGGCUGGGUUUGAAACUUUGAAUUUUCGCAAGGAUUUUCUUUUUUUCAGUAAAACCAAUUUGAUUUUCCUGCCGAAAUUUUUUCAAUUUUUGAUUUAAGGCCCUAGGGAGUUUGACCUAUUUGAUCAAUCAAAAAGUUUUAAACAACUUUUAGCAAUGGAUCUCUAGGCUCAU